RNAcentral lists this small RNA (3943 nucleotides) under Rattus norvegicus (Norway rat). RNAcentral describes it as "uncharacterized LOC108352070". The record is from RNAcentral. Lineage: Eukaryota; Metazoa; Chordata; Mammalia; Rodentia; Muridae.
CACACACACCACUGCUUAUAUUACAAAAAAACAUUUUGCACUCAACUUUUCUUCAUGUAAAUGGAUUUGAGUCUCUUUCACAAAUGUUCAUUACUGAAUCCUGGCUUGGACACAGGACCUAAUUAAUCAUCUCUUUGGGUCUGCUUUUGUUCUCUGUGUCAGCAACAAAUCCUUUCCCAGAAAAAAAAAAUCCUUCAAGCUUUGCCCUAGGAGUAAGGCACGGGAGAAAAGGAGGGGCCCUAUUCCUGUAGAAGCCCAUUGUUUAUUUAACCCAGUGGCUGAAUUAUAAUCAGGCUUUCAUUGUUUUGUUUUUGAGGCUAAGAAGAGAAUUAAGCUAGUUCUAUUUAGUGGCUUAGAAGGGAGAGGGUCAAGUCUGGGUGUGCAUGAAAACCUCCCUUUCUUUGUUGCUUAGUUUGUGUGUGUGUGUGUGUGUGUGUGUGUGUGUGUGUGUGUGUGUGUGUGUGUGUUUGUGUUAUGUUUGUAUGUGUGGUAUGUAUGUGAAUGAUCAUACUGAGGUCAGGGGUUGAUGUUGGGUUUCUUCCAUGAUACCUACCCACUUUGUCUCUUGAGGGGUAGUAUCUGUUCCUACACCUGGAACUCACCAGUUCUUACCAGUCUAGCUAGCCUACUUGCCCUGUGAUUCCCCCAUCUCUGUCUCUUAAAUGCUGGGAUUAGCGACAACCACCACACCUACCAGGCUUUUUUAUGGAUUCCGGGGAUCCAAACACUGUUGCUUAUGCUUUUAAGGCAAGCAUUGUGUCCACUGAGUGACAUCCCCAACCCUCUAUUUCUUAAAUACACUUUUUGUAGGUAGUAUGAAGAGGAGGGGGAGAGGGAUAUGAAGGAGAAGCUGAGAGAAAAGGAGGAAAGGCAGCUCCAAGUACAAUGCUUUACUCUUUGAAUAUGAGGGUAAUGUUUUCUAGGCUCGUCUGAUAGUCCUUUCUAAGUCUGAAAUCGGCACACACAGAGUACCACGAAGCUUGCAGAAUUCUUCAGUGCUCUCUGUUACUGACAGCUCACAGUGCCUUGCCAUCACCACCCUAAGUAACUCUCCUAUGAGUGAACUCUCCCCACCAUGCUGCAACCCAAGAAGCAUCAUUGAUACUACAGGAAAUGAAAGACAACAUAAGAACCUAGAUCUAUGAUUUGAGCCAUGGAUUCCAGGCGCCAUGUUUAGCCCCUCACAGUGCCUGGAAGGUGGCACGUGGUUGUUGUCAAGUUCAAUAUUCCGUUCUUACUUGUGUCUUCUUGCCUGCUGGUAGUUGUGAACUCCAUUUCCAGGCUGUAGAGGUUAGGCUUGUCUCCACAUCACACCAACAGCUCAAACUCCCUCUAAGUGCUUUCCUAUGGUACAGAUAGGGGCUGCCAAGUGGCAAUGGCCUCAGCCAAAAUAGAUUUCCAAGUGGUUUGGCCUGAAGGACCCUGAUCUACUAGGUGCCAGAUUUGACCAUGAGACAUGGGGUAAAGAACCCCUUUCUGGGUUUCCCAAGAAGACAGAUAAACUUGGCCUGACACUAAUCAAAAAUCUCUGGGUUUGUAUAACACAUUUUCUCAUUUUAUUUGAUUUUUAGCCUUGUAUUUAAGUGCCUGUCACAACGACCCAUAGGAGAACAAAAGGCAACACAUGUCUACUGCAGUUUAUACUGAAUGAGUGGAAUCAUAAUCACAUGACGGUCAGGAAUGGACAAGGCCACACAUGCUGUGGCUGAUGGCAGGGACAGCCUGGGGCUCCGUGAGUGGAUUCCGUGUCCAGCACUCAUCGCUGGCCUAUACCACCUGCUGCUGUACAUAUGUUGGCUGUCCUUCCAGAGAGAAAGGGGGCUGUUUAGGGCAGAAAAUGCUGCAUCGUCAGCUGCUGACUCUCCAUUCCCGUGGAGAGAGGCGGAUGCUGAUGGUGCACGAUACAGAGAAAAGCGAUAAUUUCUUUUUCAUUUGAGAACAUGUUUUCAGGUGAGGAAUCGACCUCUUCCAUCAUACUCUGCUCUGUUUUGAAUAAAAUAAAGAGGACUGUGUAAAGGAAUGAUUUUUUUUAACCACUGCAUUAUGUCCUUUGCGUAUCAUGUCUCCUCUUAGCUAAGAACAGCAUUAUCCACUCUCCAUACGUAAAGGUACAGGGUCCGAAGUGCCGCGCACAUCUCGCAAAGCCUCGUAGCUGCAAGUGUGCCUUCCACACUCCCCUGAGCUCGUUGAUCUCCUUUGUAAGAUUCCGGAGGGCUAGGAAGAUGUCCCAGUGGGUGAGAUAUUGGAUGUGGAAGCAAAUUCGAAGAUGUCGGCUUAGAUCCCAGCACUCACGGAGAAAGCCACGUGUGGAGGACGCUCGGUAUUGCAGUUAAACCAGAUCAGCGUUUGUUCUCAGGUUCAUUUGCCGUAGUAAGGCCAACCUCGCAACAGUUAAACCUAAUUAAGGCACCUGCUGAACAUCACACAAAUUUGGAAGAGACAAAGCAAUUGCUUGACAGAGUUUCUGUAGUUGUUUGAGAAGCCACACCUCGGAGUAAUCCACAGAAAAGAGAAGGAUGGGGAACCUAGUUUCUUCCUGUCAUCUUUUCCUCCAUCAAGGUUCUUCUCAAGGUGAGUCGCCGCCCUGCACCACCCACUGUGUCUCUCAGAAAGGGGACUGAAUUCCUGAAGAUGUAGUAUUUCAUCAAAAUGUGGGUCGGGAGAUCCAUGCGUCUUCUUCCGGUUUGGUCUUCAGCUCUAGCUAGUUUGUGGUAGGAUAAAGUUGGAAGGGGUGGGAGAUCAGCAAGGGUCUAGCAAAGCCAAGAUCAUGGCCAGACAGCCAUGCAGAGCAUGCAAAAGGAUGAAGGAGGUCAAGGGAGACCAAGAAGAUUCACAAAGCUGUGCUCAUUGUAAGUCUGCCCCCGCUUCCUUCCUGAACAAUUAAAUCAGGAUGUCUGAGACUGGGCAUCAUUUGAAAGGCUCCUCAGAUUACACGGGUGUCCGGCCCAGGAGUGUGGGAGUCACUGCUUUUAGGUGUCUCCAAAAACAAACAUCUUGGUGCAAACUUCAUAUCAUAAUGUCCGUCUUUCUCCUAACUGGGAAAAAAAAAGCAAAGCUACUUAUUUAUAAGGAUAUAAUCAGAAGCUGCUGCACCCCUGAGCCUUAAAUUAUUUUGGGGCAAGCUCUGGAAGACGCAAGCAUUUUGUGACCUUGAUUUCUCACUACACAAAAGGCCACCGAAAUUCUUGAUGCAAAACAAUGAAAUUUUCCAUUAGGUUCCACUUAAGCAGCAAUUCUGCAAAGGGUAGGAGGAAACAGCAGGUUCCUCGGUCAGACUAAAUAGGUUUUGUUUGAAAAAGUAAUAAUCAGUUCACUGUCCUGGAUUUAGAGGGCACAUCCAUCCUCUGAACUAACAAUGUCAGAUUUUACUCUCGUCACAUAAAUUGUGCUCUAGCCGUGUGUAUCCAGAUGAAACCAAAACACGAAUAAAGAGACUCCUUGCGCUUUUCCUGGAAAUGCAUUUCCCAUUACACACCUUCAAUUUCCAUCUCUUGUGCUCCAUCUAUUGCGGACUGUUACAGGAAAAGGAGCAAGAAACAGCCUGGAAAAGAACUUAUUAUUGCAAGCAAAUGCAUCUUUCAUCUUGGCCCAGUAGUAUCUGAAUGCCUUGCCCCCUCAGCCUGUUUCACCACCCACAGGGUCUCUUUAGUCAGGUCAGCAAUUGAGUUAAAAAAAAUGACCAGGAGGGAUGGCAGGUCUGAAGGCUACAGGAACAGGAUGUGUAAUGUAAGCAGUACUCCGAGAGUAUGUGUUCCUGGUGGUAUCAUGUCUCCUAGCCAAUCACUUUCCCCGGCUGUAUGUGAGGUGUAGGUAGUCUUGAAAAUCUUGUUUAAUCCUUCCAGCUCAGGGAUUUGACAUUUCCAAAUGCUUGGACCACGGCCCACAUGCCUCUGUCAACAUAGACUACUGGCUUUGAAUUCUGCUUUUAUUUUUUAUUUAUUUU